This is a long non-coding RNA of Spinacia oleracea (spinach), 875 nucleotides long. RefSeq lists it as uncharacterized. The record is from RefSeq and is a predicted model, not a curated record. The transcript has 3 exons. Lineage: Eukaryota; Viridiplantae; Streptophyta; Magnoliopsida; Caryophyllales; Amaranthaceae.
AUUACCAAAAAAAAAAAAAGUAAGAGAGAGAAAACAUUUUUUUUCAGUUUCUCUACCCUUUCACGUUCCUCUCCCUCUUGUUCUUCCUUCCAGCUUUUCUUUUGUUGUUCAUAGAAAAAAUUUGGGAUUUUAGGGUAAUUUUUCAUUUGUUCUUUCAAUGAGAUAAAUUAAUUAGGGGCUUUAGGAUUAGUUUAUUCAUUUGUUCUAUCUUCAUUAAAUAAAUUAUUUUGGGCUUUAGGGUUCCUCUGAUUUUUCAUUUCUUCUUCCUUUAAAUAAAUUAAUUUAGGUAAAACGAUCGAUUCCAGUUCCUCCUAUAAUCGGAAACUAUGGAGGGUUCUUGAAGCACAAGGGGAGGGCGGCUGAUUCGGCAGAUGAACGGAGGGUUCUUGUAGCGCCGGUGAGCAGCUAUGAGCCUAUGACUGAUCUCUUCUUGGCUCUCGUCUUUAGUAAAGUUGAUUGGUUAUGAGUUUUGAAGACAAAUGGUUGAUUCUACAUAUGUUGAUGAAAGGGAUAAGGAUAAGUACAAGAAUAAGGAUAACGAUCGUAACACCACCGUAACUGGAAAAAGGGAAGGUUGUAUAAGAGAUUAAAAAGCUUCAAAUUUUGAGUGAGGAUCUACAAGUAGGAUGAGAAUCACAAUCAACAGGGUGAUCUGGUAGCUAAAGGCUUGAAAUUUUCAAAGACUUCAGAGAUGAAACUUGUAUUUUGAUACUCCGUAUGAUUAUGUUUGUCUACAAUAUUUAGUGUUCACCACCUGAGCUAAUGUAUGACCUGAGCUAAUGUAAGUGUACUAGAUAUUUUGGUGGUUUAACACUUGUAUAGUGUACAAUGGUUUAUAAUGUAAUUUUUUCAAUACUAAUGAUCAUUCUUUUUUA